This 90-nucleotide transfer RNA is filed under the name bacterium. Its description in RNAcentral is "tRNA-Ser". It matches the Rfam family "tRNA". Rfam says of the family: Transfer RNA (tRNA) molecules are approximately 80 nucleotides in length. Their secondary structure includes four short double-helical elements and three loops (D, anti-codon, and T loops). Further hydrogen bonds mediate the characteristic L-shaped molecular structure. tRNAs have two regions of fundamental functional importance: the anti-codon, which is responsible for specific mRNA codon recognition, and the 3' end, to which the tRNAs corresponding amino acid is attached (by aminoacyl-tRNA synthetases). tRNAs cope with the degeneracy of the genetic code in two manners: having more than one tRNA (with a specific anti-codon) for a particular amino acid; and 'wobble' base-pairing, i.e. permitting non-standard base-pairing at the 3rd anti-codon position. The record is from RNAcentral. RNAcentral also lists the same sequence under 4 other names.
GGAGAGGUGCCGGAGUGGUCGAACGGGACGGUCUCGAAAACCGUUGUACGGGUAACCGUACCGUGGGUUCGAAUCCCACCCUCUCCGCCA